GAAAAGAAUGGGAAAAGAAUGGGAAAAGAAUGGGAAAAGAAUGGGAAAAGAAUGGGAAAAGAAUGGGAAAAGAAUGGGAAAAGAAUGGGAAAAAAAUGGGAAAAGAAUGGGAAAAAAGAAGAAAAAAAAAAAGAGAGGGAUGAACUAUUGAAGAGAUGAAUUGCGCAAGGAUUGAGGAGACAAGAAAAUGGACUGAAUAGGUGAGUCUGAGUGUACACGCCUGAGUGGACAAGCCUGAGUGGACAAGACUGAGUGGGUGAAUGGUAUGUCGUUUUCUAUACUGCUAAUCACAAGAAAUGUUUUGACCACCAAUUAGAGGCCGUCAAUGACAUGGUUCAGUGAGGACUGAAGUCUGUGUCGUUGUGGUCUAGCUUGUGUCAGUUUCAGGGCUGUUUUGGGCAACUGUGACACGGUGUUGCUCUAGUUGUGACAUGGCAGGUAGUGUUACCGAAGUUGUGAUGGCAGUUGGCUAUUCAAAAGAAACUCACCAGACCGUGGAUGCCGUCAAUGCCUGUGCCCAGAUACGUUAGUAUGUUCACGUUAAACAAUCGACUUGGUCUUUUCUACUGAGCCACAUGACGACGAGUCGAUUCAUACGACCUCUUUGUCGAGUCAAUUCGCAUGUUAAGAGUCCGUGAUUAUGCCACGUCAGCCCCAAGACACCUCUACACUACUUUCACAUGCUCUCACGCUUUUGCUCACAUGCUCUGACUCCCUUUACCUAGGUGGUGGCGCGACAUGGUUCGAUUUCGAGCCUCGUGUCUUCGGCUGGACCCCCACUCUGCUCACAUGCUCACAGAUGCAUGGCGGACGGACUUCAUGUUGCAGAUCGACUUGGUACCAGUCUCAGUUUAGGGUUGUUUUUGGUUUUGGGCGCGUAUCGUGCACCCCAGAGCCAUACGGCUGCAGCUGCGGUAUGAUAUUGUACGACUGCUCAAGCAUAUACGGCUGCUCGUAUGCCCAUUCUGCAAUCCUGCGCGAGUCGUAUUCUGUUGGUGCGAGGUUAUGCGUCGACGGUUGAUAUUGGCUGUAUGGCUCCCGAGCUGCACCCCAGACUGCCGGCUCGGUGGAGAUUUGAGAUGCGAGAAGGUUGGAGGAUGGAGAUUGGGGUUCCGGGCUCUAAAGAGCUCCAGAGUCGGGAAAGAGUGAGCCUGCUGGUCGAUGCGGUGGUUGUCAAUGUGGUGGUGGCCGAUGCGAUGGUGGUCGAUGCGAUGGUCUACGUUGACCUUGGCUACUGCGAUUGUUUUCACUAAUUCCUUGUUCCGACAAAGUUGGUGGUCCUCCGAUAACCCAAUUUUUGUGGGGUAGAGGUGCGUUGGACCCGACCUGGUACCGAGGCAGAUACGAGGAAUCUCUGCCAACCAGCGGGUGACGAUACUCCAAGGCGGUUGAUUUCAAGUUUUCACAAUAUGUUUUUAGCAUUUCUUACCGACAAUGGAUUGUGUCGCGUCCACUACACACAAUGACUUGUUGAAAAUAAUGUCACGAAUUUAAAACAUUCUUUAUUGCAAACCUUGUGCAACAUGCAAGGUUGGAUGUUAUCAGUUUGGAUAUUUUGGCCGAUUUUCUUGUUGAUAGUUUUUGUCGAUAUUUUCGUGCAAAUAUUUCACACAAUAUUUCGGACAAUAUUUUGGUCUCACAUUUCGGCCCAAUAUUCUCGGAAAGGGGUCGGUCGGGAAAUUAUUGCGGGGAAGGCAUAAGAAAAAAAAUCGCGUGAUCAUCGGGUCACGUGAUAGUGGGAUCGGGAGGCGCUGGAUAGGACUGCACUGGGGUCCUACAGUUGAAUUGGUUCGGCUAGAACUUUUGCACACGGUUGUUAUUAUGGGAUGUGGCGGUUGGAUUCAAGGAGGGGUUU
Molecule: unclassified non-coding RNA, 1855 nt
Filed under: Yarrowia lipolytica
Lineage: Eukaryota; Fungi; Ascomycota; Dipodascomycetes; Dipodascales
Source: RNAcentral